GACGAACGCUGGCGGCGUGCUUAACACAUGCAAGUCGAACGGAAAGGCCCUGCUUUUGUGGGGUGCUCGAGUGGCGAACGGGUGAGUAACACGUGAGUAACCUGCCCUUGACUUUGGGAUAACUUCAGGAAACUGGGGCUACUACCGGAUAGGAGCUCCUGCUGCAUGGUGGGGGUUGGAAAGUUUCGGCGGUUGGGGAUGGACUCGCGGCUUAUCAGCUUGUUGGUGGGGUAGUGGCUUACCAAGGCUUUGACGGGUAGCCGGCCUGAGAGGGUGACCGGCCACAUGGGGACUGAGAUACGGCCCAGACGCCUACGGGAGGCAGCAGUGGGGAAUAUUGCACAAUGGGCGGAAGCCUGAUGCAGCAACGCCGCGUUCGGGAUGACGGCCUUCGUGUUGUAAACCGCUUUCGCCUGUUACGAAGCGUGAGUGACGGUAAUGGGUAAAGAAGCACCGGCUAACUACGUG
This 468-nucleotide ribosomal RNA is filed under the name uncultured bacterium. RNAcentral's name for it is "partial 16S ribosomal RNA". It matches the Rfam family "Bacterial small subunit ribosomal RNA", at positions 28 to 507 of the family's 1533-position model. The record is from RNAcentral.